CCUAAGCCUAAGUCUAAGUCUACGCCUAAGCCUAAGCCUAAGCCUGAGCCUAAACCUAAGCCU
Non-coding RNA from Caenorhabditis elegans, 63 nucleotides. Lineage: Eukaryota; Metazoa; Nematoda; Chromadorea; Rhabditida; Rhabditidae. The record is from Ensembl.